This 29-nucleotide non-coding RNA is filed under the name Mus musculus (house mouse). Lineage: Eukaryota; Metazoa; Chordata; Mammalia; Rodentia; Muridae. The record is from RNAcentral.
UUCUAACUCUAUGUAGUAGAUUACUAUCU